GCUGGGUGCAGUGGUGUGUGCCUGUAGUCCCAGCUACUUGGGAGGCUGAGGUGGGAGGAUAGCUUGGGCCCAGGAGUUUGAGGGUGCAGUGAGCUAUGGUUGUGCCACCAUACCCUAGCCUGGGCAAUAGAGCAAGACCAUAUUUCUU
This 148-nucleotide non-coding RNA is filed under the name Chlorocebus sabaeus (green monkey). Lineage: Eukaryota; Metazoa; Chordata; Mammalia; Primates; Cercopithecidae. The record is from Rfam by way of RNAcentral.